RNAcentral lists this long non-coding RNA (1178 nucleotides) under Citrus sinensis (sweet orange). RNAcentral describes it as "long non-coding RNA (CSIN_LNC003819)". The record is from RNAcentral. Lineage: Eukaryota; Viridiplantae; Streptophyta; Magnoliopsida; Sapindales; Rutaceae.
UCGGGUAUUAAAGGAAAUUUGCUCGUUUGCUAGCAAAGGUAGAAGCAACUUUGAGGGUGCGUUUGGGAUUCAGGUGGUGUAGCUUUUAAGCUACAGUUGCUGUGAAAAAAAAACGGUAAUUAUGAAAUAAAAGUUAAUAAUAUAUAGUAAAUAUAAAUUUUAAAUAAUAAUUUUAUCAAAAUUAUUAAAGAUAUAAUAAAUUUUAUAUUAUACAAGUGAAAAAAUAAAUUUUAUAUUAUACAAUAAAUUUUAUAUUAUACAAGUGAAAAAUUAUAUCAAUAUAACUUAAAAGCUACAGCAGCUAGUGUUUACCAAACACUUUAGUGCUGUAGCUUUUAAGCUACAGCUGCCCAACCUCAAUCCCAAACGCACCCUGAGUUGAAAAUUUGCUCUUUCUCUAGCCUAAAUUACAAUUGGUAUUAUUGUAAUACGACAAUUAAAAAUUACUUUUACACACACACAAAUAUUAAAAGUCGACUUAUAUUUAUAUAUGAAAAUAGAUAGAUCAAAUAAAUUAUGAUAGUCUCAAUUUCUACUUUCAUAAAUAUUAAAACAAAAGUCUUUAUUUUGCCUACUAACCACAGGAAAAAAAAAAUACCUAACUUCCCUGAAUUUUAAAUUAGAAAAAGAAAUGUUGAGUCUGUUAGCAGGACUCCAAGCAUCCGCCUAAUACCAGGAGCCGAGUGGACAAUUACUUUUAAAAUAUUUUCCCCAAAAAAAAAUAUUACUUGAAGAAGCCUAUCCGAGUAGACGGCUUCAACUUGACAUCUUACAAUAGGAGGUUGCUAUGUUACAGAUUUUGUAACAUACGCACCCAAUGCAUGCACUACACCUGUCCUGCAUAUGGAGAAAAAACAUGCAACUAUUUUUAUUUAGUUGCUAGCUACCCAAUCAGAAGCUGGCUAAGUUGGAUCUGUAUGUUACAGAAUCUGUAACUUAGCCAGCUCCCUUACAAUAACUCGUAACAAAUAUCUGAUUGAAAAAUGUGCACUUUAGAGAAACACGGCGACGUUUUUGUCCUAACCUUAACCGGUUCCUCCGACGUUGACGAACACCGGUUCGGUCCAUCCGCAAUCGACUCGAUCCUCUCGGCUAUUGCCAAAGCCAAAGCCGAAGCAACUCCCGGCUCCGCUCUUAUUACCACUUCUCAUGGCAAAUUCUUCUCCAACGGCCUCGAC